AGCGAACGCUGGCGGCAGGCUUAACACAUGCAAGUCGAGCGGGCGUAGCAAUACGUCAGCGGCAGACGGGUGAGUAACGCGUGGGAACGUACCUUUUGGUUCGGAACAACACAGGGAAACUUGUGCUAAUACCGGAUAAGCCCUUACGGGGAAAGAUUUAUCGCCGAAAGAUCGGCCCGCGUCUGAUUAGCUAGUUGGUGAGGUAAUGGCUCACCAAGGCGACGAUCAGUAGCUGGUCUGAGAGGAUGAUCAGCCACAUUGGGACUGAGACACGGCCCAAACUCCUACGGGAGGCAGCAGUGGGGAAUAUUGGACAAUGGGCGGAAGCCUGAUCCAGCCAUGCCGCGUGAGUGAUGAAGGCCCUAGGGUUGUAAAGCUCUUUUGUGCGGGAAGAUAAUGCGGUCC
This 405-nucleotide ribosomal RNA is filed under the name bacterium Ellin5204. RNAcentral describes it as "bacterial SSU rRNA". It matches the Rfam family "Bacterial small subunit ribosomal RNA", at positions 29 to 459 of the family's 1533-position model. The record is from RNAcentral. Lineage: Bacteria; Pseudomonadati; Pseudomonadota; Alphaproteobacteria; Hyphomicrobiales; Nitrobacteraceae.